CUUUCUUCAAAUUUAACAUGGUAUUAGAGAAAAUACAAAUUAGUUAUCAAGCAACAAUAGUGUAGUUGCACUUAAGGGGAGAGUGUUGCAGAAAAUUAGACUCAAAAUCAGCCAUUUAACUAGCACAUCUGAAUAUGUAUGCAUUCAGCAUAUUCCUCUCAAUCAAUUCAAAGAUGCAAACAUCUCCAACUUCCAGAGAAUUUUCCCUUGCAAAUGCAAGCCAACCAGCACAUAACUUAGCUGUACGCCUAUGUGAAUACACAUUCAACUUUACAGGCCAUGAUUUGUCAGCAACCUUAAGCAUCACAGUCCGUGAUUCACAAGCCAUAUACCUCCUGAUUAAAUGAAAGGGAAUGGCCUGCGAAAAUUGAUAAUUAAAAUAGUGUCAUGAAUUCAUGAUACAUAAUAAUUAUGAUGUUCUUCUUCAUGGUAAUCCUUAUGCAUUUAUCUUUUUUUUCACAAUCAAGAUCAAACCAAACAUUAGUACUAUGGUUUAAUAUUAAUUAUAAAUGCCAUACCACAUUGAGACUUCGCCUUAAUAAAACCUUGAAGAAUGGAUAGCUAGAGAUGAAGUUGUUGACAGCUUCAAGAGCUCCACAAAUUUUUGAACGUUUAGGCCUUCCAGCCUGCCUACUCCUACCCGUCUCAUCCAUGAAUUGUUUCCGCUUUCCUCUGGAUUGGUUGCCAUUCCUGAUUGGAUCAUCCAAAUUGUGACAUGAAAUGCUAUCGUGAUCAUCAAUUUCUUGCUUCUUGGGCUGUGGUGAUUCUCCAUCAAAAUUUAGCUUAACUGAAUACUCAAUCUCUACAGCGGUCUUAUCAAAUAUGAACACAUGGAAAAGGCUAUCUCCCUUAUAUUCAAAAACUAACAAGUGCCCAUAUUUCAGAGUGUGAUUCUCAGAAAAUUCUGGCCAACCCUUUUCUAGCCAAACCUCAUUCCCAUUUUUCAGUAACUCUACUUUCCAUGAGGUGCCUGUGGGAUCUUGAAGGGUUACUGGACUAGUUAAACAAUAUCCGUAAUCUUCCACAAAUUUUAUGGGAAUCCCAAGUUUUCCCUGGUGGAUAGUAUAUUCAAGAAUUAUCUUGAAAAAACGGGUUGGUUUUCUUCUAACAGUGAAGGUCUCCUCCUGGGAUCUGCCUCCAAGAGAAGUCAUCGUAGAAUAGAGCAGCCUCAAUAUUUGUUGGUAGAGAAGAUUCUGUGUUCAUGUAGCACAGCUUAUUCCCAAUCUUCUUUAACAAGCGGUAUUCCCUAAUUAUUCCAGAAACAAACAAGGGUAAAUUAAAG
Molecule: unclassified non-coding RNA, 1282 nt
Filed under: Hevea brasiliensis (rubber tree)
Lineage: Eukaryota; Viridiplantae; Streptophyta; Magnoliopsida; Malpighiales; Euphorbiaceae
Source: RNAcentral